AGAGUUUGAUCAUGGCUCAGAACGAACGCUGGCGGCAGGCCUAACACAUGCAAGUCGAACGAGAAGCCACCUUCGGGUGGUGGAAAGUGGCAGACGGGUGAGUAACGCGUGGGAACGUGCCUUUCGGUUCGGGAUAACCCAGGGAAACUUGGGCUAAUACCGGAUACGCCCUUCGGGGGAAAGAUUCAUCGCCGAAAGAUCGGCCCGCGUCGGAUUAGCUUGUUGGUGGGGUAAUGGCCUACCAAGGCGACGAUCCGUAGCUGGUCUGAGAGGAUGACCAGCCACACUGGGACUGAGACACGGCCCAGACUCCUACGGGAGGCAGCAGUGGGGAAUAUUGGACAAUGGGCGCAAGCCUGAUCCAGCCAUGCCGCGUGGGUGAAGAAGGCCUUAGGGUUGUAAACCCCUUUCAGCGGGGAAGAUAAUGACGGUACCCGCAGAAGAAGCCCCGGCUAACUCCGUGCCAGCAGCCGCGGUAAUACGGAGGGGGCUAGCGUUGUUCGGAAUUACUGGGCGUAAAGCGCGCGUAGGCGGACCUGCAAGUCAGGGGUGAAAUCCCGAGGCUCAACCUCGGAACUGCCUUUGAUACUGCGGGUCUCGAGUCCGGGAGAGGUGAGUGGAAUUCCUAGUGUAGAGGUGAAAUUCGUAGAUAUUAGGAAGAACACCAGUGGCGAAGGCGGCUCACUGGCCCGGUACUGACGCUGAGGCGCGAAAGCGUGGGGAGCAAACAGGAUUAGAUACCCUAGUAGUCC
RNAcentral lists this ribosomal RNA (752 nucleotides) under uncultured bacterium. Its description in RNAcentral is "bacterial SSU rRNA". It matches the Rfam family "Bacterial small subunit ribosomal RNA", at positions 8 to 796 of the family's 1533-position model. The record is from RNAcentral.